GUGGGGAAUAUUGGACAAUGGGCGAAAGCCUGAUCCAGCCAUGCCGCGUGUGUGAAGAAGGUCUUCGGAUUGUAAAGCACUUUAAGUUGGGAGGAAGGGCAUUAACCUAAUACGUUAGUGUUUUGACGUUACCGACAGAAUAAGCACCGGCUAACUUCGUGCCAGCAGCCGCGGUAAUACGAAGGGUGCAAGCGUUAAUCGGAAUUACUGGGCGUAAAGCGCGCGUAGGUGGUUCAGUAAGUUGGAUGUGAAAUCCCCGGGCUCAACCUGGGAACUGCAUCCAAAACUGCUGAGCUAGAGUACGGUAGAGGGUGGUGGAAUUUCCUGUGUAGCGGUGAAAUGCGUAGAUAUAGGAAGGAACACCAGUGGCGAAGGCGACCACCUGGACUGAUACUGACACUGAGGUGCGAAAGCGUGGGGAGCAAACAGGAUUAGAAACCCGUGUAGUCC
RNAcentral lists this ribosomal RNA (450 nucleotides) under uncultured bacterium. Its description in RNAcentral is "partial 16S ribosomal RNA". It matches the Rfam family "Bacterial small subunit ribosomal RNA", at positions 354 to 796 of the family's 1533-position model. The record is from RNAcentral.